Molecule: ribosomal RNA, 469 nt
Filed under: uncultured bacterium
Lineage: Bacteria
Description: bacterial SSU rRNA
Rfam family: Bacterial small subunit ribosomal RNA
Source: RNAcentral
GACGAACGCUGGCGGCGUGCCUAACACAUGCAAGUCGAGCGAGGUCGCCCGGUCUUCGGACCGGUCACGAUCGAGCGGCGAACGGGUGCGUAACACGUGAGAAACCUACCUUGGAGACCGGAAUAACCCGAGGAAACUCGAGCUAAUACCGGAUGUCCUCGUCGGACCGCAUGGUCUGACGUGGAAAUGGUCCGCCGCUCCAAGAGGGUCUCGCGGCCUAUCAGGUAGUUGGUGAGGUAACGGCUCACCAAGCCAUAGACGGGUAGCUGGUCUGAGAGGACGAUCAGCCACACUGGGACUGAGACACGGCCCAGACUCCUACGGGAGGCAGCAGUGGGGAAUCUUGCGCAAUGGGCGAAAGCCUGACGCAGCAACGCCGCGUGGGGGAUGACGGCUCUCGGGUUGUAAACCCCUUUCAGCAGGGACGAAAAUGACGGUACCUGCAGAAGAAGCUCCGGCCAACUACGUG